GACGAACGCUGGCGGCGUGCUUAACACAUGCAAGUCGAACGGUGAAGCGCCUUCCUUUUUGGUGGGUGUGGAUGAGUGGCGAACGGGUGAGUAACACGUGAGUAACCUGCCCCCUUCUUCUGGAUAACCGCAUGAAAGUGUGGCUAAUACGGGAUAUUCUGGGUCUGUCGCAUGAUGGGUCUGGGAAAGAUAUUGUUUCGGUGGGGGAUGGGCUCGCGGCCUAUCAGCUUGUUGGUGGGGUGAUGGCCUACCAAGGCGGUGACGGGUAGCCGGCCUGAGAGGGUGGACGGUCACACUGGGACUGAGACACGGCCGAGACUCCUACGGGAGGCAGCAGUGGGGAAUAUUGCACAAUGGGCGCAAGCCCGAUGCAGCGACGCCGCGUGAGGGAUGGAGGCCUUCGGGUUGUGAACCUCUUUCGCCAGUGAAGCAGGCCUGCCUCGUUUGUGGGUGGGUUGACGGUAGCUGGAUAAGAAGCGCCGGCUAACUACGUG
Molecule: ribosomal RNA, 494 nt
Filed under: uncultured bacterium
Lineage: Bacteria
Description: partial 16S ribosomal RNA
Rfam family: Bacterial small subunit ribosomal RNA
Source: RNAcentral